UAUUCGUCAAUCUAUCGACUUACAAAAAUAAACCAAGCCUACUCAUAAUGGUCUGUCCAAAAAGUUUAAAAGAAUCUCUAAAAAAUGGGAAAAUAUCAAAACUUAAUUGCAGUAUAAUCGUAUUUGUGAUAGCCAGUAAUCAUAUACCCACCAAAACUGAAGCAGGAAGAAAUAGAACCUAUAUAAUAAUGUAUAAAACUGCACGAAUGAACAAGCCUAUCGUUAAAUAUAUAAUACAACAGGAAAAUAGAAAGAAAAAAUACUAACAGCAUCUUAUAAAUAUUGAAAAAGAACAUAAAGAAUUUGCAGGGUUCUAGUUUUUU
Molecule: long non-coding RNA, 323 nt
Organism: Gordionus sp. m RMFG-2023
Lineage: Eukaryota; Metazoa; Nematomorpha; Gordioida; Chordodea; Parachordodidae
Exons: 4
Source: RefSeq, a predicted model, not a curated record